GCACCAGGUUGAUGUGGUUCUGGAAGCUGCUGAGGGCCACGUAGACCUGCCCGCAGCCCGCAUAGGGGCAGGGGAUGGGGUCUGGAAGCCCCUCAGGGGUGGGUGAGCGGCAUCGGCGGCUGCGGCGGCGCCUCUCAGGCUCUUUAGGGAUCUCAUAGAUGAUGGCCGACAUGUCACUGCCGUCAGCAUCCUCUGCUGGCAGAGGUGGGGAGGACUCUCGAGGGGGUUCCAGGGGGGGCUCCGGGGAGCACUCAGCUGCUGCACAGGGCGGCACCUCCUCCUGCUUCAGCGCCAGUGCUUUCUCUUCC
Molecule: long non-coding RNA, 308 nt
Filed under: Gallus gallus (chicken)
Lineage: Eukaryota; Metazoa; Chordata; Aves; Galliformes; Phasianidae
Source: RNAcentral